RNAcentral lists this ribosomal RNA (253 nucleotides) under uncultured bacterium. RNAcentral describes it as "partial 16S ribosomal RNA". It matches the Rfam family "Bacterial small subunit ribosomal RNA", at positions 524 to 776 of the family's 1533-position model. The record is from RNAcentral.
UACGGGGGGUGCACGCGUUAUCCGGAAUCACUGGGUUUAAAGGGUGCGUAGGCGGCUUGAUAAGUCAGAGGUGAAACGCUGUGACUCAACCAUGGGAUUGCCUUUGAUACUGUUGGGCUUGAAUCAGGAUGAGGUUGGCAGAAUGUGGCAUGUAGCGGUGAAAUGCAUAGAUAUGCCAUAGAAUACCGAUUGCGAAGGCAGCUGACUGGCCCUUGAGUGACUAUGAGGCACGAAAGCGUGGGGAGCGAACAGG